CAGCAGCCGCGGUAACACGGAGGGUGCGAGCGUUAAUCGGAAUUACUGGGCGUAAAGCGUACGCAGGCGGUUUGUUAAGUCAGAUGUGAAAUCCCCGAGCUUAACUCGGGAACUGCAUUUGAAACUGGCAGGCUAGAGUCUCGUAAAGGGGGGUAGAAUUGCAGGUGUAGCGGUGAAAUGCGUAGAGAUCUGGAGGAAUACCGGUGGCGAAGGCGGCCCCCUGGACGAAGACUGACGCUCAGGUACGAAAGCGUGGGGAGCAAACAGGAUUAGAUACCCCUGUAGUCCCUGUCUCUUAUAC
RNAcentral lists this ribosomal RNA (301 nucleotides) under uncultured bacterium. RNAcentral describes it as "partial 16S ribosomal RNA". It matches the Rfam family "Bacterial small subunit ribosomal RNA", at positions 509 to 807 of the family's 1533-position model. The record is from RNAcentral.